UGGGGAAUAUUGGACAAUGGGGGCAACCCUGAUCCAGCAAUGCCGCGUGUGUGAAGAAGGCCUGCGGGUUGUAAAGCACUUUCAGUUGGGGAGAAAAGCCUGGUGCUAAUACCAUCGGGUCUUGACGUUACCAACAGAAGAAGCACCGGCUAACUCCGUGCCAGCAGCCGCGGUAAUACGGAGGGUGCGAGCGUUAAUCGGAAUUACUGGGCGUAAAGCGCGCGUAGGCGGUCAGGUCAGUCGGAUGUGAAAGCCCCGGGCUCAACCUGGGAAUUGCAUUCGAUACUGCCUGACUAGAGUAUGGUAGAGGGAAGUGGAAUUCCGGGUGUAGCGGUGAAAUGCGUAGAUAUCCGGAGGAACACCAGUGGCGAAGGCGGCUUCCUGGACCAAUACUGACGCUGAGGUGCGAAAGCGUGGGGAGCAAACAGGAUUAGAUACCCCCGUAGUCC
RNAcentral lists this ribosomal RNA (449 nucleotides) under uncultured prokaryote. Its description in RNAcentral is "bacterial SSU rRNA". It matches the Rfam family "Bacterial small subunit ribosomal RNA", at positions 355 to 796 of the family's 1533-position model. The record is from RNAcentral.